Molecule: long non-coding RNA, 3465 nt
Organism: Corvus hawaiiensis (hawaiian crow)
Lineage: Eukaryota; Metazoa; Chordata; Aves; Passeriformes; Corvidae
Exons: 3
Source: RefSeq, a predicted model, not a curated record
UGAAAAAAAAAAAAAAGAAAAAAAAUCAAGUGACUGGCAGAGAACGCAGCUGGCUCCUUCCUCCUCCCCAGGUUUGUUUGUUUUCCGUAGUCACCGAGGUCAUCCUGGAAAAGCCAUGGGGUGCUUCUCCAUCCCCAGCCUGUGCUUCCUCCUCUCCCUCCCCGGAGUCCUGCGUGAAGGAAGAAGGAUGAGCUACGAAGGAUGAAGGAUGAAGGACGAAGGAUGAAGGAUGAAGGAUGGGCUGUUUCUCCGGAGAGGAGGAGGAGGAGAGAAGUGCUUUUCCCUCGGGAGCCCUGCAGUUCCUGGACAAGGAGCCCAAGCUCUGCCUCGGGGAAUACACUGGGCAAAACCUCGCUCGGUGAACCCCACGGUCAGAGGAGUUCUUGGGUGGCCCCGUGGCUUUCUGUCCCCUCUGAUGAGGGACCUGGGACCCUGAAGAAGCCAAGGCUGACCACAGUGAACUCUGUGGUGCCUGUGCCAUUGGACAGCACCAGGGAAAAGCGCUAACAAACAGGGCCUUAGCAAGGCACUGCUGAAGUCCCGGCGCAGAGCAGCAGAGUCCAGCAGGAAUGAAACGACCACCUGACACACGGAUACGUGGAAAAUGACUCGGAGCCUGUAGGAGCCACCCGUCUCCAGCCUGAGGUCCGCAUGUGUGGUCUGGAAGAGGCAGGUCCUUGCCUCCCUUCCUGUCUGUGCUUCAUGCUAAUCCCCUUCUUCCCCUGCACCUCUCUCUUCCUUCACACUCCUGCUUCUUCUGCUUCUUUAUUUUUUUUUUUUUGUGGUGUGACUCCAGGAGGGACAAACCUCACCUCAUCUCAGCCCUUAUGUGAGAAGGUUUGGGGCUCGAGAUUUGAUGGGUAUUUAUUUUUCUGCUCGCUUUUACCUGGCCCAGGUUGCCCCAGCAGCUCUGUCUCCUCAGGCCAGGAUGCUCUGUGGUGGCAACUGGUGAAUGAAGCACAAGACCAAACCCUGGCAGGAGGGGCCCAUGGGCCACCAGGCAUCCCCAGAGAUGAUGGGGGCACACAGGAAGCUUGGACGUCUCUGAUGGUGAUGAUGAUGACGAUGCCUGCAGGGACAGUGGCCCAGGCAAUAACUCAUGGGAACACGCUCAUGCUCCAGCCAGCCCCUCUGACUUCCUGUAUCCCAGGGAAAAAAAAAAAAAAAGGAGAAAUAGAAAUCAGUUGACAGAAUCCCACAUCGGGGGCUUGAGACCACCUUGGAUGGAUCUAAAGGGCAGCCAAGGUUGGCCUGUGUGCCGCUCACCCUGGGUGUGGUGGGUGCAUCUCUGGCCCCAUGCGGGGGCUCUGCCAGCUUUGGGACAUGGUGUGGUGUCCCAGGACAGUCCCUGUGACUGCCCCUGGAUCCCUGGCAGUGUCCAAGGCCAGGCUGGACACUGGGGCUCGGAGCAGCCUGGGAUAGUGGAAGGUGCCCAUGGCAGGGGUGGCACUGGAUGAGCUCUAAGGCCACUUCCAGCCCAAACCAUUCCAUGCUUUUAUGGCAAGAAGAACUGCGGCCACGGAGGUCCCUGCCCAGCAUUUUGGGUCCAUCACCCCCCCAGGACUGCCCUGCCUGACUCGUGGAUGGACAUUCCCCACCUGCCGUGAGCCACUGUCCCGCGCGGCACCGGGGCUGUGCCAGCUGGUCCCUGGCCCAGUUCCUGCUGCGUUCCCACCCCAUCACUGAUUUGGGAAAGCAAGCCACGGGCGGGCAGGGCCCCUCCUGAACGAGGGUUUCUGCAAUGAGGGAUGUUAGGAAAUCCCAUUACGGAUCUCCCGGCCAUGUGUGAAGCAGGGAUGGUUUUUUUCCAGCGAAGUGCCCAGACAACUCCAAAGACGUGAUGAACUGCGAAUGACCCACGGAGCCCAUUGUCUCUAGGAGCUGGUGAAAAAGCCACAGCGACCAGGCAGGGGUGUCACACCCGGCUGCAAAACAAUGAUGCUUGAAGUGGUGGCGUGAAGCCGGGAAUGGGGACAGUCCCCUUCCGGAGCGCGGAGCCGGGAGAACACGCCGGUGACAAUGAGGGACACCCAGAGUGAGCCACGCACGUCCCCAGCCUCAAACCACCUUUGCAUGGGAGCAAAUCCACUGGUGAGCCGCAGCCCUCAACUGGAAGCACAUGCUCUGGCUGUAUCCAUCGUCCAGGCUGGAGCAGGGAUGAGGGAGGCGAACCCUUUUGUAAGUGUUGGCCGGGAGAAAUGUGGCUUAUCUUCGAGAAAUGAAUCACGUUUCAGCAAAUGCUUCCUGCAGAAAUAUUUUUCUCACAGCCUUUGUUCGGGGUUUUGGCAGAUCUGGAGUUGCUGGCGUUAGCAAAAGCCGUCCCUCCCGCCCACUGUUCCUGGGGCUGGAGUAGGAAGUCAGGAAUCAAGGCAGAGGGGACGUGGAAGGCUAAAUCCAUCAGCGCUCCUGCUCCGCGCUGCAGCAGGAUGUGGAGCUUAGAGGAGAAUUUCAGAGGAGAGCCCCGGAUAAAGUCCAGGAGAGCUGAGUGCUUGGCUGCUCUUGCAGAGGUACCUGUGCUGGGCAGUCAGCUUGGAAUUCUGACACCGGGACAAAUCCCUGGCAGGUGCUGCGGCCCGGUGGAAGCCAGCCCUUAGCUCCUCCUUCCUCUCCUGGAAACCAGCAUUUUAGGAGGGGGAAAGGGCAAUAUCUCCCGUUCCCAUGUGUGGUUGGGCCCAGAACAUGGAAAGAAAAUGAAAGAAAAAUCCGUGCUAUGACACGCGAAUCAAUGCCGAGCUCCUCGUCUGCCUCUCCAAAGGCUUUGACAGGGAUCCUGUCUGCCUUCCCACCAGUCACAAACAUUGCUCUGGGUCUCAGCUCAGGAGGGCAGGGAGGAAAAAUGUGCAUCUUGGUUCUGGAGAACUUCAAGGAUUUUUCUUCCCAGUGGCAGGGAAUUUUUCCUGGGAAGGCAAUUUCGUUCCUGGGCCUGGUAGGCUCCCUGAUCAUUUUAAAGCAGACCCCUGGGGGGAAUAAGGCCUUUAAAAGCUCCAUUUGCUCCCAGUCAUUUUACACAGUAACCCAACCUGAAGUGAAGGAUCUUUAUUUAAAUAUGAAUUAAGCCCCAGCCUUCUCCUUUACUGUGUUAUUUUCCUUUGAGGUUUACUUUGAUAUUAUUUCAAAGUCUUGAAGCUAACAAAACGCUGGCCCAUAUUUAAAGUGACAGGAGAGUUCUGGAAAAAGAUUUAGGAGGCAACUGAAGUCUUUCAGUGCAGGGCUCCGAAACAGGACAGGAAAUCAUAAAAGGGCUGAGUGCACUUUACCAUGCUCCAAACAAAUUCUGAGACUACAAAGGCGAGGGGAAUGGCGUCAAAACCACAAAAAGCAUCAAGGUGCAGCUGGAAAACCUGGAAUUAUUCUGUUAAAACACGGGCAAAAUGCUGGCAGUGAUGGAAUCACUGAACCAUGGAACGGUUCGGGUUGGAAGGGUGGUUGAAGAUCAUCUCAUCCCACCCCCUGCCAUGGGCAGGG